UACGUAGGGUGCAAGCGUUAAUCGGAAUUACUGGGCGUAAAGCGUGCGCAGGCGGUUUUGUAAGUCUGUCGUGAAAUCCCCGGGCUCAACCUGGGAACUGCAUUUGUGACUGCAUGGCUGGAGUGCGGCAGAGGGGGAUGGAAUUCCGCGUGUAGCAGUGAAAUGCGUAGAUAUGCGGAGGAACACCGAUGGCGAAGGCGGCUUGCUGGGCGUGAUCUGACGCUGAGGCGCGAAAGCGUGGGGAGCGAACAGG
RNAcentral lists this ribosomal RNA (253 nucleotides) under uncultured bacterium. RNAcentral's name for it is "partial 16S ribosomal RNA". It matches the Rfam family "Bacterial small subunit ribosomal RNA", at positions 524 to 776 of the family's 1533-position model. The record is from RNAcentral.